This 399-nucleotide ribosomal RNA is filed under the name Enterobacteriaceae bacterium. RNAcentral's name for it is "bacterial SSU rRNA". It matches the Rfam family "Bacterial small subunit ribosomal RNA", at positions 380 to 772 of the family's 1533-position model. The record is from RNAcentral. Lineage: Bacteria; Pseudomonadati; Pseudomonadota; Gammaproteobacteria; Enterobacterales; Enterobacteriaceae.
CAGCUGAUGCAGCAUGCCGCGUGUAUGAAGAAGGCCUUCGGGUUGUAAAGUACUUUCAGCGGGGAGGAAGGGAGUAAAGUUAAUACCUUUGCUCAUUGACGUUACCCGCAGAAGAAGCACCGGCUAACUCCGUGCCAGCAGCCGCGGUAAUACGGAGGGUGCAAGCGUUAAUCGGAAUUACUGGGCGUAAAGCGCACGCAGGCGGUUUGUUAAGUCAGAUGUGAAAUCCCCGGGCUCAACCUGGGAACUGCAUCUGAUACUGGCAAGCUUGAGUCUCGUAGAGGGGGGUAGAAUUCCAGGUGUAGCGGUGAAAUGCGUAGAGAUCUGGAGGAAUACCGGUGGCGAAGGCGGCCCCCUGGACGAAGACUGACGCUCAGGUGCGAAAGCGUGGGGAGCAAA